Melanotaenia boesemani (Boeseman's rainbowfish) is the source of this 663-nucleotide long non-coding RNA. RefSeq lists it as uncharacterized. The transcript is spliced from 3 exons. The record is from RefSeq and is a predicted model, not a curated record. NCBI's taxonomy places the organism in Eukaryota, Metazoa, Chordata, Actinopteri, Atheriniformes, Melanotaeniidae.
UGGUUCUCUCCCAGCAGAGGAGAUUGAGCGCGCGGUCAUCGCAGGUGUACGAGCUGCACUUCAAAGUGCACUUCCAACGCAACCACUCACACCAUUAACGGUCUCCGGACUACAGACUAACUCGCAGGUUCUUCCAGCAGUGCCCAGAGGCGCGGUGACCCAGUUUUCAACCGCAGUCACUGCACAAAGAUCAGAUGGACAUGCCUUCAUUUCCAAAGAAGAUAUCGAGGGUCUGUUGUUUCAAGGGACAACUGUUUCUGAAGCAGCCUCUGCUUUGCAUAUUUCCAGACCCACAUUAUACAAACUCAUGCGGGAAUACAACAUAAGGCACACCAGAUUUACUGAGAUUUCUGAUCAGGAACUGGAUGUAAUGAUAUGUGCCAUUAAAGCUGAACAUCCUCAUGUAGGAGAAGUUAUGCUAAAUGGGCAUUUGCGUGCCAGAAACAUUAUUGUCCAAAGACGUCGUCUCAGAGACUCAAUUAAAAGGGUUGAUGGUGCUGGUGUUGAGUCCAGAAGGGCAACAACAAUACAGAGGAGAGUGUACACUGUGCCCUUCCCAAACUAUGUAUGGCACAUCGAUGGCAAUCACAAACUGAUCCGAUGGAAAUUAGUUGUACAUAGUGCAAUGGAUGGCUACAGCAGAAUGAUAACUUUUCUCCAGUG